GAAUAUUGCGCAAUGGGCGAAAGCCUGACGCAGCGACGCCGCGUGGGUGAUGAAGGCCUUCGGGUCGUAAAACCCUGUCGGGUGGAACGAAUCCUCCGCGGAAUAAUACUUCGCGGGGUUGACGGUACCACCGAAGGAAGCCCCGGCUAACUACGUGCCAGCAGCCGCGGUAAUACGUAGGGGGCAAGCGUUGUCCGGAUUUAUUGGGCGUAAAGAGCGUGUAGGCGGCCGCACAGGUCCGUUGUGAAAACUGGAGGCUUAACCUUCAGACGUCGAUGGAAACCGUGCGGCUAGAGUCCGGAAGAGGAGAAUGGAAUUCCUGGUGUAGCGGUGAAAUGCGCAGAUAUCAGGAAGAACACCCGUGGCUAAGGCGGUUCUCUAGUACGGUACUGACGCUGAGACGCGAAAGCGUGGGGAGCGAAC
Molecule: ribosomal RNA, 423 nt
Filed under: uncultured bacterium
Lineage: Bacteria
Description: bacterial SSU rRNA
Rfam family: Bacterial small subunit ribosomal RNA
Source: RNAcentral